AACGAUAGCUAAUACCGCAUAAAAGUCGACAUUGCAUGAUGUUGACUUGAAAGGUGCAACUGCAUCACUAAGAGAUGGACCUGCGUUGUAUUAGCUAGUUGGUGAGGUAACGGCUCACCAAGGCGACGAUACAUAGCCGACCUGAGAGGGUGAUCGGCCACACUGGGACUGAGACACGGCCCAG
RNAcentral lists this ribosomal RNA (184 nucleotides) under uncultured Streptococcaceae bacterium. Its description in RNAcentral is "partial 16S ribosomal RNA". It matches the Rfam family "Bacterial small subunit ribosomal RNA", at positions 155 to 334 of the family's 1533-position model. Lineage: Bacteria; Bacillati; Bacillota; Bacilli; Lactobacillales; Streptococcaceae. The record is from RNAcentral.